RNAcentral lists this ribosomal RNA (303 nucleotides) under Triticum aestivum (bread wheat). Its description in RNAcentral is "partial small subunit ribosomal RNA". Lineage: Eukaryota; Viridiplantae; Streptophyta; Magnoliopsida; Poales; Poaceae. The record is from RNAcentral.
AUGACCGUCCGCGUCAUCUGUCGUUCUUCUCCGGCAGCUGCGCCGGCGAGCGCCCCACCGAACCCGCUCUCUUCCUCGUCUCUUCGCUACCGAACCGCAGACAACAACAGCUUCCAUGGUUGUGUAGCUCGCCGCCGGCCUCCACAAGCUGAGCGCCAUCGGAUCUGGAGGAUCCGGGCCUCCCGCGCUUUCCCGUGUCCGUCCCCUGCCUCUCCGCUUCGCCAGAGUCCCUCGCGAGCCAGCGUCGUGAGCUCCAGCGCCGCAGCUCCUCUGUGUUUUAUCGAACAGAGGCGACGCCCGUAG